Molecule: long non-coding RNA, 266 nt
Organism: Passer montanus (Eurasian tree sparrow)
Lineage: Eukaryota; Metazoa; Chordata; Aves; Passeriformes; Passeridae
Exons: 3
Source: RefSeq, a predicted model, not a curated record
GAGAUUCUUUACCUGAGAUCAAGACAUCCUUCCUUACCCAAGGCAGAGAGAUACCUUCUUAGCAACAAAUCCUCUGAGUAACAGCUGGCCAGACACAGGGAGGUAACUGCCAAGGACCUGACUGCUGCUCUGUGGGGUUUUUAGUGAUCUACAGGCAGAAGUGGAGAUGUGACACCAGCACUGGGUUCACACUCUGUCCUCUGACCCACCAACACCCUGUUCAGUCCUUGGGGACCAGCCUCCAGCCUGGACUUCAGCGAUGUGGG